CGACCCUGCCGCGCUCCGGGCGCCCUCGCAGCAGAUGUCUCCCAUGGAGCAGCUGGAGGCCGCCUCCCCGCCGGCCCCCCCCCCCCCCCCCCCCCCCGCCCACCGCCGCCACCGCGUGGGUCCCUCGGAAUCCGCGCAGCAGACAGCCGUCCCGACGGGGGGGGGUGGGGUGGGGGUGGGGGUGGGAGGCCGCUGUGGCCUCCCGGGCUUGGGUUGUGCUCAGCUGGCCAGGCCUGGGGCUAGGGCUGGCUCCUGGGACUCACCAGGAGGUCACACCACCCACUUGGAGGCCCAAGUCCUGGCCUCAACCCUCUGAUCCUGGCCCCGGGGAGGAAGGGACCUUUCGCAACUUGAAAAGGAGCCCCUGCCGUGGCUGACCCUGGCUCACAGAGACCUCACUUCCUGGGGCCACAGACCCACUGCACAGUGAGAAGAGCCACUGUGCGCAAGGCCCGGUCACCCUGGCUGCACAGAUGGGGCCGCAGGCCAAGGCAGGGACACUCAGAGGGAGGGGGACGUCUGGAGAGGGCUCCAGGACACUGCCUAUCCGGCAGCCCUACCCAGUUCUCUCCCAGACUACCGGCCAGGCCCAGGGGGAGGAGCCAGAGGGCAGCAGCAGGCGGGUGGCCCUGACCCUACCCAGAGACCCCAGCAGGGCCCACCUGGAGGUCUGGUGUGAGCUCUGGCAGACCAUCUGGGGCAGGGCCGGGCCUGGGCAGCACCACCUGGUGGCUGCUCUGUGGAGUGCGCCUCCCUGGCCCUGAGCCAGCCUCCUGGCCUGCUGCGCUCCCUGCCUGACCCGGAUGGGGAACUGGGGUGUGGGGCUGGCGGCCGCAAAAUGAAAACAAGGGGCCCCCUGCUGGGUCCAGUGGCGCAUCAGUAACCCCAGCGACUGAGAAGCCUGAGGCUGGAGGCUGGAGAGUUUGGAACCAGUCUGGGCAACUGAGACCCUCUCCUGAAAAAAAAUAAGGCCAGGCUCAGAGGCUCACACCUGCAUCCCAGCGACUCGGAGGCUGAGGAAGGAGGCUGAGGAAGGAGGCUGGCAAGUUCACGGAACCUGGGCAGUUCAGCAAGACCCUGUGUCUAAAAAGAAAAGGGCUGGGGCGUAGCUCAGUGUCAGAGUGUUCCUGGGUUCAGUCCCCAGGACAGGAAGGAAGGAAGGACGGAAGGAUGGAUGGAUGGAUGGAUGGAAGGAAGGACAGAUGGAUGAGUGGAAGGAAGGAAGGACAGCCCCUUAUUCAAAAUUUGGCCGCCCCAGGACAGCAGCCCCAGAGCCUCACACCAAGCAGGGGCCUUGGGGUGUGGCCCUGAGUGACUCCAGGGGCCGCUCACCACCGAGGGCUGUGGGGCCAGGAACAGGACAGGGUGCCACCAACCAGGCCGCCCCAAAGGCCAGGUCGGCCGGCGGAGACGCAGCCCAGCAGCACAGCCUCUGGGCUUGGCUUCCUCCCGGUGCCCACUGCCUGCCUUCCCUCUGGGGGCUGGGAGGUUGCGGAAGCGGCACACGUGCCCCGAGCCGCGGCCUGAGGCCCAUUAGUGGUUAGUGUUGGCCACGGCCUAGGACUCCCGGGUCACACCCCAAAUGGUGCUCACAGAGCAGGAGGGGGCAGUGAGGGUCCUCUGGGAGCCACAUGGGUUCCGGCAAUAAUUCCCAGACAGUACCAGGGCCUUCCAGGUCACACAGUCCCCUGUGGUGGGGGACGGACACAGUCCUUUACACUCAUGCUCCGGAAUGCCCACCAGGCCCCUCCCUUGCCCACCAGGGCCAUGAGGAAGGGUGGCUCUUGUCCUCAGAGGGCCAGAGCCCGUGCCUGACAGCCAUCUAGCAGACGGGCACCCACCCGAGCCCCGUCCCUCUAUCUGUCCACCCAGCUCCUCCUGCCCAGUCCCCUGCCUUCCACCCCCAGCCCACGUCUCUCCAUCCGCGCAGCUAGGACUGCAGUCGGGAUAGAGCACAUGCCGGUCCAGUGCGAGGCUCUGGGUGGGUCCCCAGCACUGUACAAUUGCACCGUCACCCGUAUAUUUGGCAUCACUGCAUACACGUGACAACUCUCCAUCCAUCCAAAAAAAAAAAAAAAGGAUUUUUGUCCCUUUCCUUGCAGCAUUGGGUGUUGAGCCCUGGAGUGUCCUGAGCUGGGUCCCCUUUUGUAAAUUGUAUUUGAGGCAGGGUCCUGCUAAGUUGCUGAGCUGGCCUCGAACAGACAACCCCCGGCGGAGCCUCCAGGCCACUGGGACUGCAGCGUGCACAGGCGCGGGGCUCCCUUGUCCAGGUUCACGCCACAUCCCGCCAGCCACCCACACGCCUGCAGACGGUCACGCAGACCGCCUCAGUGCCAGGCAUCUGUUGUGAGUGGCCACAGUGGCCCUGAUGUCGCUUGGUGGCUGUCCACGUCCCUCUCUGCUGUGGCUGGCACGGCCCAGGCAGGCAUUCGGGAAAGAGCAGGACGGGCCGCGAGCCACAGCCCCCCUUCACUGCCGAGCCCGGACCCGGAGCUCUCCCCUCUCUGCACCUGGUUCCUUGUAAAGUGGACACAAGUGCAGCUCUCUUCAUGGUUUUGUGAAAAUUAAAUUUAAAAAACCUCAGAAGGGCUGGGGAUGUGGCUCAAGCGGUAGCGCGCUCGCCUGGCAUGCGUGCGGCCCAGGUUCGAUCCUCAGCACCACAUACAAACAGAGAUGUUGUGUCCGCC
This 2687-nucleotide long non-coding RNA is filed under the name Marmota monax (woodchuck). Lineage: Eukaryota; Metazoa; Chordata; Mammalia; Rodentia; Sciuridae. The record is from RNAcentral.